UCAGAGGGCCCAGGGCUAUCAGCAACCCACCAGGGAUCUGCUAUUGAUGGCAACACAAACUUAGACAUUGGACAGUGUUGUAUUGACAGCAAGCUCAGUUUUAGCAGUAACAGAACAGACAAAAAUAAAGGCAUCUAACACCUUUAUUACCUAACAUUUGGCCAUCUUUUCUGCUGUAUAUAGAGUAUGAGUUUUAGCAGGAAUAACUCCAGCUGGAAGCUUUACUUGCUCAUGAUGGACUUGCUCAUCCUGACUUACUGCUGCAGAAGCAUAGAUUCUGGAAUGGAUUAUCACAUUCUCCUCCUACCCCCAGGCUGCACAUUUUUGUCAGCUGGUACACAGCAAAGUUUAGUUUCCCAACUAGACCAAGGAUCAGAGAAUGUGGCACUGAGUAACAGGUAUGGAUUGCCACAGUGUGAACUGGAAUUAUAAGCCAGCAUGGAGAGGACAAAAUUACACAGUAACUGGAUUUUUAGGGAGAAGCUUGAAAGCAAAAGAAGUCUAACAUUCACCCUGCACAGGAACUGAGAAGCCAAUGAAGUUCAGAUGACCAUUAUUAAAAGGUUUGAUAGUU
This is a non-coding RNA of Cyanistes caeruleus (blue tit), 574 nucleotides long. NCBI's taxonomy places the organism in Eukaryota, Metazoa, Chordata, Aves, Passeriformes, Paridae. The record is from RefSeq and is a predicted model, not a curated record.